AUGGAUGAUUACAUCCAGAGGCUUCAAGGGUUGGGCUUGCUGGAUUCGAGGGGGAAUGCAAUCCGCGAGUUCAAUCUGCCCCAUGACAACAGUGCCGCUCCGGCAGCAGCAGCGCGUCCGGAGUACCCGACGGUGGUUGAUGUCGAACUGAAGACGGAAUUGAAGAAGAUGAAUAAGAACUUCAAGCAGCUGAUUGAGUUGAAGAAGCAAUCCAAUCUGAGAGCUUUAGGAAUACUUGCUUUAGGAAUUUUUACUUGA
RNAcentral lists this ribosomal RNA (258 nucleotides) under Triticum aestivum (bread wheat). RNAcentral's name for it is "partial small subunit ribosomal RNA". The record is from RNAcentral. Lineage: Eukaryota; Viridiplantae; Streptophyta; Magnoliopsida; Poales; Poaceae.